UUAUAGAUUUAAGCGUGCAGUUGUAUUUCCGGGAAGAUUGUUUUCUUUUUUUGUCUAUAGAUAUACUAUCUCAAUCACUGUGAUAUUACAGGCGGCGUGAGUGAUAAUUCAAGAAUUGUUUCUUUCUUCUAGAACAGAAAUGGUUAAAUUAUUCGUAGGGAACAUCCCAGAUGAUCUAUAUAGCAAUGAGUUGCGUGAACUUUUUCAAGAAUAUGGUUCAGUUGAAGAGGCAACUAGACUAUCAAAAUUUGCAUUUGUUCAUAUGCCGAAUGAGGAUGAAGCUGAUCGUGCUUUGAAAGGAUUAGACAAAUAUCAUCUGAGAGGUUUUAAUAUUAAUGUGGAGAUUUCAACUAGCACAGCAGGAGAGAAAGGCGGACCGAGAAAUAGAAAUGAAAGAGGAAAUUCCGCUGGACCUACGCGUGGUAGGGGGAUGAAUGACCGGGGAAGAGGAGGCGAUAGCGCUUACAGAGGAGGCCCACCUGGGGGUCAAAGUCAUUCUAAUAACCGAUAUAACCCAUAUAACGAUGGACCUCCUGGUCCAUAUUAUCAAGCGGGAAAUCGAUCUGAAUAUGAACGCUAUUUCGAGAAGAGACCUCUUAAUGAUAUGGAAAGGCGGCUGUUAAACGUACUUCUUAGAAGAAAGGAAGACUUUGAUGGACCUCAGCAACAACCCGUUUGGGAUCCUUACAACAGGCCACCGCCGGAAGCCUACAAGAGGCCAAAUGAAGGGUAAGCGACGCUUAAACACCAAUGUCGUUUACGUGGUCAUCAGGAAUAUUAGACCGGGGAGCUCCUAUAAGGCCGCGAUUACAACCAACAAGAGUAAAUCAGGGGUUACUGGAUCGACCAUCUAUGGAUCAACUCUGGGUGCCUACCAAUAAGCAUGUAGUAGAUUAUCAUUGCUACUAUUCUAUGUAUCUAUUCUCUGCUCUCCUUCUAUGUAUAUAUAUAUAUAUAUAUGUAUAUGUACUGUAUAUAUAUAGGUAUUAAGUGUAUAAAAAAAAAAAGUUAUCCAUUUUAUUCAUAUCUUUGUAAACAGCUAUCUUGGAAUCAAAUUCAUAUGCAGCACAAGAAAAUUGCACUGUUAUACUAUACAAGACAAAAUAACUUUUUGAUAAUAGCUUUUUUAUUAAAAAUUUAUGAUUUUUGUUUCACUAUUUUUGUCGAUUUAAAACUGAAGAUUUGUAAUAAGGCGUUUUAUUUUUUGUUAAAAUAUAUGCUAGUAAACAGGUAUUUUUUUAAAAAA
RNAcentral lists this unclassified non-coding RNA (1246 nucleotides) under Dimorphilus gyrociliatus. RNAcentral describes it as "rRM domain-containing protein". Lineage: Eukaryota; Metazoa; Annelida; Polychaeta; Dinophilidae. The record is from RNAcentral.